Molecule: ribosomal RNA, 500 nt
Filed under: uncultured bacterium
Lineage: Bacteria
Description: partial 16S ribosomal RNA
Rfam family: Bacterial small subunit ribosomal RNA
Source: RNAcentral
AUUGAACGCUGGCGGCAGGCUUAACACAUGCAAGUCGAGCGGGGAAGGGUAGCUUGCUACCUAACCUAGCGGCGGACGGGUGAGUAAUGCUUAGGAAUCUGCCAUUUAGUGGGGGACAACAUUCCGAAAGGAAUGCUAAUACCGCAUGCGUCCUACGGGAGAAAGCAGGGGAUCUUCGGACCUUGCGCUAAUAGAUGAGCCUAAGUCGGAUUAGCUAGUUGGUGGGGUAAAGGCCUACCAAGGCGACGAUCUGUAGCGGGUCUGAGAGGAUGAUCCGCCACACUGGGACUGAGACACGGCCCAGACUCCUACGGGAGGCAGCAGUGGGGAAUAUUGGACAAUGGGGGGAACCCUGAUCCAGCCAUGCCGCGUGUGUGAAGAAGGCCUUAUGGUUGUAAAGCACUUUAAGCGAGGAGGAGGCUACUGAGACUAAUACUCUUGGAUAGUGGACGUUGCUCGCAGAAUAAGCCCGGCUAACUCUGUGCCAGCCGCCGCCGUAA